Lactuca sativa (garden lettuce) is the source of this 404-nucleotide non-coding RNA. Lineage: Eukaryota; Viridiplantae; Streptophyta; Magnoliopsida; Asterales; Asteraceae. The record is from RefSeq and is a predicted model, not a curated record.
AAAAGAGAAAGAGGGUAAACAGCAGUAGAGAAAAGGGAAAGAUGUCGUUACCUUUCUCGGGUCAAAGACUCAGCUGCUGGACUGGAUUCUUCAAUUUCGUCGGAAACCAACCGUAGUCUCAUAGACCAUUCUCACAUAUCUUAAUAGGUCUUAGCAUUCCUCCAAAUUCAGCUAUAAGAAGUCAUGGAUGCACUUCUUGAAUCAAUCUUCUAAACUGAAAUUCAUUUGUUAGUUAGAUGCAGGACCAAAAUGCAAGAUUUGUGAAAGUCAAUUAUUAUUUAUUAGUGUUAACCUUUGGCAAAUUAUGAAACUAAUAUUAUAUUUUUUUCAUAACAAGGCUUUUUUGUAAUAAUUUCUUUGAUCGGAAGAUAUGUAUAUCUGAUUAGGCGUAGCCUCAAAAAUCA